UACGUAGGGUGCAAGCGUUGUCCGGAAUUAUUGGGCGUAAAGAGCUCGUAGGCGGUUUGUCGCGUCUGCUGUGAAAACCCGAGGCUCAACCUCGGGCCUGCAGUGGGUACGGGCAGACUAGAGUGCGGUAGGGGAGAUUGGAAUUCCUGGUGUAGCGGUGGAAUGCGCAGAUAUCAGGAGGAACACCAAUGGCGAAGGCAGAUCUCUGGGCCGUAACUGACACUGAGGAGCGAAAGCAUGGGGAGCGAACAGG
RNAcentral lists this ribosomal RNA (253 nucleotides) under uncultured bacterium. RNAcentral's name for it is "partial 16S ribosomal RNA". It matches the Rfam family "Bacterial small subunit ribosomal RNA", at positions 524 to 776 of the family's 1533-position model. The record is from RNAcentral.